AAGCCAGAAAAUGUCCUAGUAAGAGAUGAAGGUCAUAUAAUGCUCUCUGAUUUCGAUCUCUCACUUCGCUGCUCUGUCAAUCCAACCCUCGUCAAGUCCUCAUCUACACAUGCAAGCAACGGCGGAGGGAAUGGUGGUGGAGGUAUUUUGGACGAUGACUAUGCAGUGCAUGGUUGCAUGCAGCCCUCAACAUUUUUCCCUCGCAUUUUG
This 210-nucleotide unclassified non-coding RNA is filed under the name Hevea brasiliensis (rubber tree). Lineage: Eukaryota; Viridiplantae; Streptophyta; Magnoliopsida; Malpighiales; Euphorbiaceae. The record is from RNAcentral.